RNAcentral lists this ribosomal RNA (325 nucleotides) under uncultured eukaryote. RNAcentral's name for it is "partial 18S ribosomal RNA". It matches the Rfam family "Eukaryotic small subunit ribosomal RNA", at positions 1470 to 1796 of the family's 1831-position model. The record is from RNAcentral.
CCCUUAGAUGUUCUGGGCCGCACGCGCGCUACACUGACUGCUCCAACAAGUUACCUGGGCUGACAAGCAUCCGGGAAAUCUUGCAAAGGCAGUCGUGUUGGGGAUAGAUUCUUGUAAUUUUUGAUCUUCAACGAGGAAUUCCUAGUAAACGCAAGUCAUCAGCUUGCAUUGAUUACGUCCCUGCCCUUUGUACACACCGCCCGUCGCAUCUACCGAUUGAAUGGAGAGGCAAAAUCUUCGGACCGUGACGCUUGGGAGUCAAAUCUCGGGCUGUCGUGGGAAGUGGAUUAAACCUUUCUAUUUAGAGGAAGGUAAAGUCGUAACA